UGAGGAAUAUUGGUCAAUGGGUGCAAGCCUGAACCAGCCAUCCCGCGUGAAGGACGACUGCCCUAUGGGUUGUAAACUUCUUUUGUAUAGGGAUAAACCUACCCUCGUGAGGGUAGCUGAAGGUACUAUACGAAUAAGCACCGGCUAACUCCGUGCCAGCAGCCGCGGUAAUACGGAGGGUGCAAGCGUUAUCCGGAUUUAUUGGGUUUAAAGGGUACGUAGGCGGACUUAUAAGUCAGUGGUGAAAGCCUGUCGCUUAACGAUAGAACUGCCGUUGAUACUGUAAGUCUUGAGUAUAUUUUAGGUAGCUGGAAUAAGUAGUGUAGCGGUGAAAUGCAUAGAUAUUACUUAGAACACCAAUUGCGAAGGCAGGUUACCAAGAUAUAACUGACGCUGAGGGACGAAAGCGUGGGGAGCGAACA
This 422-nucleotide ribosomal RNA is filed under the name uncultured bacterium. Its description in RNAcentral is "bacterial SSU rRNA". It matches the Rfam family "Bacterial small subunit ribosomal RNA", at positions 355 to 774 of the family's 1533-position model. The record is from RNAcentral.